GUUGGGCACAGCUGGGUAGAAAAGGAUUAAUACUCACUGAAAAGUGCAGGAUUCUAUAAAAAGAUGUUGGUAAAAAGAUGCCACCGAGACUCCAAAGAAGAUACCUGGAGUAAAUACCGCAGCAGCACGAUGAGUACCGUGAUCACAAAGGCAGAGGCUGCUGUGAUGGUCCCGAGAAUUAAGACACUGCUGUAGGAAGAGGAA
Lepisosteus oculatus (spotted gar) is the source of this 204-nucleotide long non-coding RNA. RefSeq lists it as uncharacterized. NCBI's taxonomy places the organism in Eukaryota, Metazoa, Chordata, Actinopteri, Semionotiformes, Lepisosteidae. The record is from RefSeq and is a predicted model, not a curated record.